AGUAACACGUGGGUAACCUGCCCAUCAGAAGGGGAUAACACUUGGAAACAGGUGCUAAUACCGUAUAACAAUCGAAACCGCAUGGUUUCGAUUUGAAAGGCGCUUUUGCGUCACUGAUGGAUGGACCCGCGGUGCAUUAGCUAGUUGGUGAGGUAACGGCUCACCAAGGCAACGAUGCAUAGCCGACCUGAGAGGGUGAUCGGCCACAUUGGGACUGAGACACGGCCCAAACUCCUACGGGAGGCAGCAUG
Molecule: ribosomal RNA, 251 nt
Filed under: uncultured bacterium
Lineage: Bacteria
Description: partial 16S ribosomal RNA
Rfam family: Bacterial small subunit ribosomal RNA
Source: RNAcentral